UCUGCUCUAUCAACAGAACGUGUACGACUGUUGAGGGGAGUAGGGAAGGUUGAAGAGUGGGGCCAUAGGUCAAUUGAAAUUGUAUCUCAAGUAGCUUACACACGGUGAGACUCGCCUCGCUGCGUCUAGCGAGAAACCAUUAUACGUACGUAUCCAUGAUACGAAUGUGAUCGUGCGCAAGGAAGAAACAGCGUACCCUUCGAUCAGCCGGGUGGAAGAAAAUUAGAUGGUCGAGAAAAAAGAGCGUCGUUGACAGUGGAUGACGUACGUAAGUAGUACAUACAUACAUUUACGUACUACGCGAGGUGCCCGUGAGAAAAUACGUCGAGGAAGAGAAGUCUAGGAAGACUCGGGAAGGUGGGUCGAAAACAACCAAAGACUAGAGCCGAGCACGAGGAGACCGCUUAAGGAGCUCAACCAUGCGUGCUUCCCCGUACUCGCGAGCGUUACAGGUGAGCCGAAGUAACCACGAAACGAAUCUUCUUCGAGCGUACAACAACGAGAAAAUGGAUGAAAAAAAAAGACGGACGAAAAGAGUAAAAAAGAGAGAAAGAGUAAACAUAGAUCCAUGUACAUGUUUAAAACCUGCAUUUCCAUUCGCUGACUUUUUAAACAUUCAACAUUCGCUAUUUUAAUUCGUUCGAUGCGUUAUUACGGAACUUUGAUAUUUCGAUUCGUUUUACCAAACUCCAUAUUUAGUGUACCUUUUGCAGAUUUCGAUGAACUUGCAGAAAUAAGAUAUUCUUAAUAUUGUAUGUUACGUUCGAUUUGUACCAGUAAUAUACACACGUAUGUAUAUACAAUUAAAUUAAAUAAAAAUAUAUAAACAACGCAAUUGAAUUUAAA
Molecule: long non-coding RNA, 846 nt
Organism: Bombus terrestris (buff-tailed bumblebee)
Lineage: Eukaryota; Metazoa; Arthropoda; Insecta; Hymenoptera; Apidae
Exons: 2
Source: RefSeq, a predicted model, not a curated record